Phrynosoma platyrhinos (Desert horned lizard) is the source of this 73-nucleotide non-coding RNA. The record is from the annotation of a GenBank genome assembly. Lineage: Eukaryota; Metazoa; Chordata; Lepidosauria; Squamata; Phrynosomatidae.
GUAUCUGUGGCCUAGCCGUUUGAGCGUUGCACUAUGACUCUGGGAGACCAGGGUUCGAAUCCCCACUGAUCCG